AUGGCAGGAUCUAGAUCAAGUGUUCAUGGAGAAAACCAUGGGGAAGAAGAUGCCUCGGUCACAUGUGUCGAGCUGCAGCGACUCGAGAACAACUUACUCCAAGCCAUGGAAAGGAUGCUUCGUGAGCAUCCUCCAGCAGGUGGUGAUAGGGUUCGACACCGAAAAUGCCCUAUUGAUCCACUUGCGAAAAUUGGCGAUGAGAAUUCCGUGCAUGCUGCUGUUGACGGUGCCUUGAGGAUGAUAACAACAGCUAUGGUGGACAUGUGGCUGCUGCUCAUGGGUGUGGUGCUGCUGCUCAUGGAGGGCAGCGAGGAGGACAACUUCGAGGGCAGGGCCAUGGUCCUCGUGGGCACUACUAUGACCCUCAUGAGCGUAUUGCUCGUGGUCAUGGAGAUGAUUUUGAUGAUUAUGAUGGUGUCCCAUACCGUCGUGUUGCUGAAGAUGGGCGUCGUGUAG
RNAcentral lists this ribosomal RNA (456 nucleotides) under Triticum aestivum (bread wheat). RNAcentral describes it as "partial small subunit ribosomal RNA". The record is from RNAcentral. Lineage: Eukaryota; Viridiplantae; Streptophyta; Magnoliopsida; Poales; Poaceae.